Molecule: small nuclear RNA, 107 nt
Filed under: Monodon monoceros (narwhal)
Lineage: Eukaryota; Metazoa; Chordata; Mammalia; Artiodactyla; Monodontidae
Source: RNAcentral
GUGCUCGCUUUGGCAGCACAUAUACUAAAAUUGGACCGAUACAGAGAAGAUUAGCAUGGCCCCUGCGCAAGGGUGACACGCAAAUUCAUGAAGCAUUCCAUAUUUUU